RNAcentral lists this ribosomal RNA (253 nucleotides) under uncultured bacterium. RNAcentral's name for it is "partial 16S ribosomal RNA". It matches the Rfam family "Bacterial small subunit ribosomal RNA", at positions 524 to 776 of the family's 1533-position model. The record is from RNAcentral.
UACAGAGGUCCCAAGCGUUGUUCGGAUUCAUUGGGCGUAAAGGGUGCGUAGGUGGUGCCGUAAGUUGGGUGUGAAAUCUCGGGGCUUAACCUUGAAACUGCAUUCAAUACUGCGGUGCUCGAGUACUGGAGAGGAGACUGGAAUUCACGGUGUAGCAGUGAAAUGCGUAGAUAUCGAGAGGAACACCAGUGGCGAAGGCGAGUCCCUGGACAACUCCUGACACUGAGGCACGAAAGCUAGGGGAGCAAACAGG